UACAUAGGUCCCAAGCGUUGUUCGGAUUCAUUGGGCGUAAAGGGUGCGUAGGUGGCGUGGUAAGUCGGGGGUGAAAUCCCGGGGCUCAACCCCGGAACUGCACUCGAUACUGCCGUGCUCGAGUACUGGAGAGGAGACUGGAAUUUACGGUGUAGCAGUGAAAUGCGUAGAUAUCGUAAGGAAGACCGGUGGCGAAGGCUAGUCUCUGGACAGUUACUGACACUGAGGCACGAAGGCCAGGGGAGCAAACGGG
RNAcentral lists this ribosomal RNA (253 nucleotides) under uncultured bacterium. Its description in RNAcentral is "partial 16S ribosomal RNA". It matches the Rfam family "Bacterial small subunit ribosomal RNA", at positions 524 to 776 of the family's 1533-position model. The record is from RNAcentral.